CCCGAGCAGGCCUCCCGCCUCUCCCCGGGCCUCCGGUGCGGGCCGGCUGCUGUGCAGGGUCGGAGGUGGCCGAGGGGCUGUCACCAAGCGACCGGCAGCUGGCUAGGCAGGGGAAGCAGGUUUGGAGCCGGGAAGAUGGGUGUCCCGAGCAGGGCAGAGCCACAGAGUGGUAAAAUGUUCGGGUUGGCACCACUAGCGAAGUUAUAAGGAGGGAGGAGAGGCCCGCGACUACGAAGCAUUUGCGAGCUGGGGGAAAGCCAGUACUAGCUCUAUAUCCCAGAGAGAAGCAUCAUGUACACUGAUAUUUCCACAGAUUACCAUUGCACCAUGCUUGCUUUUUCUGUUUCAUGUCUUAAUUUUCAGUUUAAGUUGGCAGUGCUUCCAAAAAAGUAGAUUUUUCUUCAGUCGUGUGCAUGUCCCACAGAAAGGUAGUAUUUCAGCUCUGAGGCUUGUUUCUGUGAUGGAAUUUCUUUGAUUUGGAGACAUGUAUCUCAGUUUUCUUCUUUUUUAAUUUGUUUUAUACUCUCUUAAAAACAGACUUUUAAAGAGGGAAGUGGAGCCUGAUGAUUCAUGCCGAUUCCUCAAAUACGUAACUUAUCUUUCAGACCCUCUGUAAACAUCAAGCGAGGAGGACAUAUUCAACGUCAAAUGUCCAUGUUCAACUUAUUGGUGAUGAAGUGGUAAAGGCACCAACGUUCUGAAGUAUGUUUAGUAGCUUGAUCCAUUUCCCGGGCUAUGGUCUCUGCUUGGAAGGCAAAGAUCCAGUGCCUCCAUUUAUUGACCAGAGAUGGAGAGGGAGGGCUCAGCAGCGCCUGGAGGCUCUUCAGCAGCUUGCUUCAACUCAGUCUUCUCUUCAGAUACCUCAAAUUGUGUAUGAAGAUCCUGAAGUUAGUGGAAGGAAUCGCUACAAAUAUUUUGCACGACCUCUCAUCCCUUCUAAUAAGCUGCUUCCACUAAAUAUUGCUUACACAAUGGAAAAGACAGAGCCCUGUGUCCAUUCAGCUACAAGAGACAGCAACGUCUUUGGUCCCAAGUUACGAACUUUGGGCACACAGACAGAUUACAGGGAUGGAGAAGCCCAGACAGAUCCCUAUUCCCCUGAAUAUGUAGUUCCCAGUGGCUCAGUCCCUGAACUUCUGACACUUGCUACACUCACUUGGGGUCGGGGGUUACCAGCGGGACUAGUCGAGGUGGAGAUGAUUGAAUGCGCCCGGGAAAAACAUGCAUGGGAAGCAACUCUUCCAGCAGCGGACAAUGCCUCACAAAUCACAAAGAGGAGAAAAAUGAUGGAAGAUAUGGAGAGGAAGGAGUGGGCCUUUAGAGAACGGGAAAUAGAAAAGUUGCAGGAGGUUCGACUGGAAGUCUUAAAGAAACUGCUGCGAAGGCGAGAGGAGAAUCAGAAUGAGCUGAAUGCCAAGCGCUUGGAUGACCACUGGCGAAAUCACCAGAAGGUUAAAGAAGAGAAAAUUAAAAAGAUUAACCAUGACUGUGCACUAAUGGUCAGGAAACUGAUAGCUAAGGGGAAUAAUGUGAUGGGGAAGCUGGAGAGACGAGAUAUCAUCAAAGAGUAUACGGACUUUGCAUCACAAACAUAUGCUCCUUUGUCUAGAAUUGGUUAUUUUCCAGACAACCGUUCUGAACGCUAUGUGGUAAAAAACUUGUGUCUUAACACCUUUGCAGGACUGUGUGAACUGGAAGCAUCUCUCCCAGAUUCUGUCACCCAGGUCAAGAUUGAAGCUCCAAAACCUAAGUACACUACCACUAAGACUGGAUUUAUUAAAAGAUCAGCAAAGCUAGAGGUGGAGCUGGCACAAGUUCACCAGGCAGUACUGGAGAAGAAUAAAGUCAAGGAGCCAAAGAAGCCCCUCCAUUUCCUUGAAAAAGUAGAAAAGCCCAUUCCUCGGCCACCCACUCCAAUCCUGGAAAAACCAUCAAUUGAGGAAGAGGAAACAGAACUGGCAGUGAUCUGUCUGCAGAAGUUACUCCGAGGCAGGGCUAUUCAGAACACGAUGUUUGAAGGGAAGGAGAAGCGGCUGGAACUGAUCCAGGAGCUGCGCACCACUCAUGCACUCCAAGAGGAUGGACAGCUGCUUUUGAAAGCGAAGGAGCAAAUGACACAGGCUCUACAGCAACAGCAUGACUUGCAAAUGCACAAGUUGUCAUCAAUGGAAAGCCAUUUGGCUCGGGAAGAAGGAAGGGCACUGGCAAACAUAUUUGAUUUCCUGUCCAAAGAGCUGGUGAGGCUACAAGAAGAACGGAAGAUCCACGCUUUUGUCAUGUUGGCUGAGAGGCAGAGGCGGAUGCGGGAAGCGGAGGAGAGUGGACGUCGUCAGGUGGAAGAGAGGCGGCGGCGGGAAGAAGAUGAGAUUUUCAGACAGGUGGUGAAAGUGCACCAGAGCACUAUUGACUCCUACUUGGAAGACAUUAUCCUGAGUACCGUGGAGAACACAGCCGAAGAACAAGCCAGGGAAGAGGUUCAGAGAAUGGCUGUAGAAAUCAACAACAUUGCUUAUGAAAUGGAAAGUCGUCGAACUCACCUACAGUCAGAAGAGAUUGUAGCAGAGCUGGUUUAUGAUUUCCUGAUUCCGGAAGCUGAGAAAAUGUCUAUCAGAGAAAAAGAUGGAAUUCCCUGUGGAUGGAGGAAGGGACUGCAGCAAUACUAGGAGAGUACUCCUAGUAUAGCUGAUGCAGUUCAUGCACACAUGAUUAAAGCCAAAAUGCUUUGGGUAGAGAAAGCUCUCCUGGGAAUUGAGAGCUGGCUGGUGAAGGUCAGCUUUUCAAAUGCAAGAGAGAUCCAGUUGCAUUCACUGCUGACAAAAUGGACCUGGGAGAUGGAUUAAACACAAGCAGGACAGGUUAUUAAUGUUGAGCAACCGAGUCAGUGACAGGAGGCAGAACUGUGUGACACCAUGCAAGACACCACUGGGUCAGAUUCCAAGUGAAAGUGCAGCUCAGCCUUACAACAAUAACAGCCCAAAGCAACAAGGAAGUCUUGGGCUUUUCCGGGGAAGUGACACAAUGAGAGCCACAGCUCGUUCCUGCAACAUUCCCCACACCCUCCUUAUAAGCCCCCAUGAAUGUUUACCAGCAUCUUAAGUCUAGCGAGAGAACAAGGGAACAAAGAAGAGUGAAGAGCAGCAAGAGGAUUGUAGGGUGAAUGCUUUGCCUUGGUGAGGCAGUCCCAAAGAAAACACAUCUAUGCUGCUCAUCAGAUCAUCCACGGGGGCACAGAGAGGGUAGUGGCUGAUCUGGCACUACAGCGGGAGACAUCUGCCAGUGAGACAA
This is an RNA transcript of Athene cunicularia (burrowing owl), 3285 nucleotides long. It is a transcript of the gene named MYCBP associated and testis expressed 1, with no coding region annotated. NCBI's taxonomy places the organism in Eukaryota, Metazoa, Chordata, Aves, Strigiformes, Strigidae. The transcript is spliced from 17 exons. The record is from RefSeq and is a predicted model, not a curated record.